GUGGGGAAUAUUGGACAAUGGGCGAAAGCCUGAUCCAGCCAUGCCGCGUGUGUGAAGAAGGUCUUCGGAUUGUAAAGCACUUUAAGUUGGGAGGAAGGGCAGUAAGUUAAUACCUUGCUGUUUUGACGUUACCAACAGAAUAAGCCCCGGCUAACUUCGUGCCAGCAGCCGCGGUAAUACGAAGGGGGCGAGCGUUAUUCGGAAUCACUGGGCGUAAAGCGUGCGUAGGCGGUUUUGUAAGUUAGGAGUGAAAGCCCAGGGCUCAACCUUGGAAUUGCUCUUAAAACUGCAAGGCUCGAAUCUCGGAGAGGAUAGCGGAAUUUCCAGUGUAGCAGUGAAAUGCGUAGAUAUUGGAAGGAACACCAGUGGCGUAAGCGGCUAUCUGGACGAGUAUUGACGCUGAGGCACGAAAGCGUGGGGAUCAAACAGGAUUAGAAACCCUAGUAGUCC
RNAcentral lists this ribosomal RNA (450 nucleotides) under uncultured bacterium. RNAcentral's name for it is "bacterial SSU rRNA". It matches the Rfam family "Bacterial small subunit ribosomal RNA", at positions 354 to 796 of the family's 1533-position model. The record is from RNAcentral.